Molecule: transfer RNA, 68 nt
Filed under: Ornithodoros compactus
Lineage: Eukaryota; Metazoa; Arthropoda; Arachnida; Ixodida; Argasidae
Description: tRNA-Lys
Source: RNAcentral
CAUUGAAUGGCUGAAAAGAAAGCGCUGGUCUCUUAAACCACCCCAUAGUACACGAAUACUUUCAAUGA